UGGUGGGUGUCAGGGUCAGUCCAGGUGAAAGUGAACAGAGGCUGGGAUGAAGGGUGCAAAGGAAUAGUAAAAUGGGGGAAUUGUAAGGGGAGUUUAUAGCCUUUAAAGACCAUGCUGUAGCAGGCAAGUGAUAACAGACUUUAAUCCCUUUAAGGCAACCUGUGGGAUGGGAUAUUGGCAUUGAGCAGGGUAAGAUCAGGGAAGCAGAUAAUUUAGUUAAAGCGUCUCGGCCUAAUAAGGGCCUAAUAAAGGCAGGUGGGGAUAACUAAAAAGGAGUGCUUAAAAGACUAUUGUGAGUUGAACAGUCCAAUUUUCAGUGGGGGUCCUUCACAGAUGGGACGCGGCUU
This 347-nucleotide long non-coding RNA is filed under the name Homo sapiens (human). Its description in RNAcentral is "non-protein coding lnc-SORCS3-12:1". The record is from RNAcentral. Lineage: Eukaryota; Metazoa; Chordata; Mammalia; Primates; Hominidae.